AGUGAACGCUGGCGGUAGGCCUAACACAUGCGAGUCGAACGGCAGCACAGUAAGAGCUUGCUCUUACGGGUGGCGAGUGGCGGACGGGUGAGGAAUACAUCGGAAUCUACUUUUUCGUGGGGGAUAACGUAGGGAAACUUACGCUAAUACCGCAUACGACCUACGGGUGAAAGCAGGGGAUCUUCGGACCUUGCGCGAUUGAAUGAGCCGAUGUCGGAUUAGCUAGUUGGCGGGGUAAAGGCCCACCAAGGCGACGAUCCGUAGCUGGUCUGAGAGGAUGAUCAGCCACACUGGAACUGAGACACGGUCCAGACUCCUACGGGAGGCAGCAGUGGGGAAUAUUGGACAAUGGGCGCAAGCCUGAUCCAGCCAUACCGCGUGGGUGAAGAAGGCCUUCGGGUUGUAAAGCCCUUUUGUUGGGAAAGAAAAGCAGCAGGUUAAUACCCCGCUGUUCUGACGGUACCCGAAGAAUAAGCACCGGCUAACUUCGUG
This 492-nucleotide ribosomal RNA is filed under the name uncultured bacterium. RNAcentral's name for it is "partial 16S ribosomal RNA". It matches the Rfam family "Bacterial small subunit ribosomal RNA", at positions 29 to 507 of the family's 1533-position model. The record is from RNAcentral.